GGGUUGUGAGGUUAAGCGACUAAGCGUACACGGUGGAUGCCCUGGCAGUCAGAGGCGAUGAAGGGCGUGCUAAUCUGCGAUAAGCGCCGGUAAGGUGAUAUGAACCGUUAUAACCGGCGAUACCCGAAUGGGGAAACCCAGUGUGACUCGUCACACUAUCAUUAACUGAAUCCAUAGGUUAAUGAGGCGAACCGGGGGAACUGAAACAUCUAAGUACCCCGAGGAAAAGAAAUCAACCGAGAUUCCCCCAGUAGCGGCGAGCGAACGGGGAGGAGCCCAGAGCCUGAAUCAGCAUGUGUGUUAGUGGAAGCGUCUGGAAAGGCGCGCGAUACAGGGUGACAGCCCCGUACACAAAAGCGCAUGUGCUGUGAGCUCGAUGAGUAGGGCGGGACACGUGGUAUCCUGUCUGAAUAUGGGGGGACCAUCCUCCAAGGCUAAAUACUCCUGACUGACCGAUAGUGAACCAGUACCGUGAGGGAAAGGCGAAAAGAACCCCGGCGAGGGGAGUGAAAAAGAACCUGAAACCGUGUACGUACAAGCAGUGGGAGCACAGGUUUACCUGUGUGACUGCGUACCUUUUGUAUAAUGGGUCAGCGACUUAUAUUCUGUAGCAAGGUUAACCGUAUAGGGGAGCCGGAGGGAAACCGAGUCUUAAUUGGGCGUUAAGUUGCAGGGUAUAGACCCGAAACCCGGUGAUCUAGCCAUGGGCAGGUUGAAGGUUGGGUAACACUAACUGGAGGACCGAACCGACUAAUGUUGAAAAAUUAGCGGAUGACCUGUGGCUGGGGGUGAAAGGCCAAUCAAACCGGGAGAUAGCUGGUUCUCCCCGAAAGCUAUUUAGGUAGCGCCUCGUGAAUUCAUCUCCGGGGGUAGAGCACUGUUUCGGCUAGGGGGCCAUCCCGGCUUACCAACCCGAUGCAAACUGCGAAUACCGGAGAAUGUUAUCACGGGAGACACACGGCGGGUGCUAACGUCCGUCGUGAAGAGGGAAACAACCCAGACCGCCAGCUAAGGUCCCAAAGUCAUGGUUAAGUGGGAAACGAUGUGGGAAGGCCCAGACAGCCAGGAUGUUGGCUUAGAAGCAGCCAUCAUUUAAAGAAAGCGUAAUAGCUCACUGGUCGAGUCGGCCUGCGCGGAAGAUGUAACGGGGCUAAACCAUGCACCGAAGCUGCGGCAGCGAACGUAUCACUUAAAGCGAUUCAGCGGAUGACGAUUGACGGAGCGAAGCGACGUCAAAGCGUAUACAAAGUCGAGUCGGUUUAAGGAUACGUUCGUUGGGUAGGGGAGCGUUCUGUAAGCCUGCGAAGGUGGCCUGUGAGGGUUGCUGGAGGUAUCAGAAGUGCGAAUGCUGACAUAAGUAACGAUAAAGCGGGUGAAAAGCCCGCUCGCCGGAAGACCAAGGGUUCCUGUCCAACGUUAAUCGGGGCAGGGUGAGUCGACCCCUAAGGCGAGGCCGAAAGGCGUAGUCGAUGGGAAACGGGUUAAUAUUCCCGUACUUGGUGUUACUGCGAAGGGGGGACGGAGAAGGCUAUGUUGGCCGGGCGACGGUUGUCCCGGUUUAAGCGUGUAGGUGUGUGUUCCAGGUAAAUCCGGUUCACUUUAACACUGAGGCGUGACGACGAGGCACUACGGUGCUGAAGCAACAAAUGCCCUGCUUCCAGGAAAAGCCUCUAAGCAUCAGGUAACAUCAAAUCGUACCCCAAACCGACACAGGUGGUCAGGUAGAGAAUACCAAGGCGCUUGAGAGAACUCGGGUGAAGGAACUAGGCAAAAUGGUGCCGUAACUUCGGGAGAAGGCACGCUGACAUGUAGGUGAAGUGAUUUACUCAUGGAGCUGAAGUCAGUCGAAGAUACCAGCUGGCUGCAACUGUUUAUUAAAAACACAGCACUGUGCAAACACGAAAGUGGACGUAUACGGUGUGACGCCUGCCCGGUGCCGGAAGGUUAAUUGAUGGGGUCAGCGCAAGCGAAGCUCCUGAUCGAAGCCCCGGUAAACGGCGGCCGUAACUAUAACGGUCCUAAGGUAGCGAAAUUCCUUGUCGGGUAAGUUCCGACCUGCACGAAUGGCGUAAUGAUGGCCAGGCUGUCUCCACCCGAGACUCAGUGAAAUUGAACUCGCUGUGAAGAUGCAGUGUACCCGCGGCAAGACGGAAAGACCCCGUGAACCUUUACUAUAGCUUGACACUGAACAUUGAGCCUUGAUGUGUAGGAUAGGUGGGAGGCUUUGAAGUGUGGACGCCAGUCUGCAUGGAGCCGACCUUGAAAUACCACCCUUUAAUGUUUGAUGUUCUAACGUGGACCCGUAAUCCGGGUUGCGGACAGUGUCUGGUGGGUAGUUUGACUGGGGCGGUCUCCUCCUAAAGAGUAACGGAGGAGCACGAAGGUUGGCUAAUCCUGGUCGGACAUCAGGAGGUUAGUGCAAUGGCAUAAGCCAGCUUGACUGCGAGCGUGACGGCGCGAGCAGGUGCGAAAGCAGGUCAUAGUGAUCCGGUGGUUCUGAAUGGAAGGGCCAUCGCUCAACGGAUAAAAGGUACUCCGGGGAUAACAGGCUGAUACCGCCCAAGAGUUCAUAUCGACGGCGGUGUUUGGCACCUCGAUGUCGGCUCAUCACAUCCUGGGGCUGAAGUAGGUCCCAAGGGUAUGGCUGUUCGCCAUUUAAAGUGGUACGCGAGCUGGGUUUAGAACGUCGUGAGACAGUUCGGUCCCUAUCUGCCGUGGGCGCUGGAGAACUGAGGGGGGCUGCUCCUAGUACGAGAGGACCGGAGUGGACGCAUCACUGGUGUUCGGGUUGUCAUGCCAAUGGCACUGCCCGGUAGCUAAAUGCGGAAGAGAUAAGUGCUGAAAGCAUCUAAGCACGAAACUUGCCCCGAGAUGAGUUCUCCCUGAGACUUAGAGUCUCCUGAAGGAACGUUGAAGACGACGACGUUGAUAGGCCGGGUGUGUAAGCGCAGCGAUGCGUUGAGCUAACCGGUACUAAUGAACCGUGAGGCUUAACCUUACAACGCCGAAG
This 3010-nucleotide ribosomal RNA is filed under the name Salmonella enterica subsp. enterica serovar Rissen. Its description in RNAcentral is "23S ribosomal RNA". It matches the Rfam family "Bacterial large subunit ribosomal RNA". Lineage: Bacteria; Pseudomonadati; Pseudomonadota; Gammaproteobacteria; Enterobacterales; Enterobacteriaceae. The record is from RNAcentral.